Molecule: ribosomal RNA, 1443 nt
Filed under: uncultured organism
Description: SSU rRNA
Rfam family: Bacterial small subunit ribosomal RNA
Source: RNAcentral
GGCUCAGGAUGAACGCUAGCUACAGGCUUAACACAUGCAAGUCGAGGGGCAGCAUGGUCUUAGCUUGCUAAGACUGAUGGCGACCGGCGCACGGGUGAGUAACACGUAUCCAACCUGCCGUCUACUCUUGGACAGCCUUCUGAAAGGAAGAUUAAUACAAGAUGGCAUCAUGAGUCCGCAUGUUCACAUGAUUAAAGGUAUUCCGGUAGACGAUGGGGAUGCGUUCCAUUAGAUAGUAGGCGGGGUAACGGCCCACCUAGUCUUCGAUGGAUAGGGGUUCUGAGAGGAAGGUCCCCCACAUUGGAACUGAGACACGGUCCAAACUCCUACGGGAGGCAGCAGUGAGGAAUAUUGGUCAAUGGGCGAGAGCCUGAACCAGCCAAGUAGCGUGAAGGAUGACUGCCCUAUGGGUUGUAAACUUCUUUUAUAAAGGAAUAAAGUCGGGUAUGGAUACCCGUUUGCAUGUACUUUAUGAAUAAGGAUCGGCUAACUCCGUGCCAGCAGCCGCGGUAAUACGGAGGAUCCGAGCGUUAUCCGGAUUUAUUGGGUUUAAAGGGAGCGUAGAUGGGUGUUUAAGUCAGUUGUGAAAGUUUGCGGCUCAACCGUAAAAUUGCAGUUGAUACUGGAUAUCUUGAGUGCAGUUGAGGCAGGCGGAAUUCGUGGUGUAGCGGUGAAAUGCUUAGAUAUCACGAAGAACUCCGAUUGCGAAGGCAGCCUGCUAAGCUGCAACUGACAUUGAGGCUCGAAAGUGUGGGUAUCAAACAGGAUUAGAUACCCUGGUAGUCCACACGGUAAACGAUGAAUACUCGCUGUUUGCGAUAUACGGCAAGCGGCCAAGCGAAAGCGUUAAGUAUUCCACCUGGGGAGUACGCCGGCAACGGUGAAACUCAAAGGAAUUGACGGGGGCCCGCACAAGCGGAGGAACAUGUGGUUUAAUUCGAUGAUACGCGAGGAACCUUACCCGGGCUUAAAUUGCAGAUGAAUUACGGUGAAAGCCGUAAGCCGCAAGGCAUCUGUGAAGGUGCUGCAUGGUCGUCGUCAGCUCGUGCCGUGAGGUGUCGGCUUAAGUGCCAUAACGAGCGCAACCCUUGUUGUCAGUUACUAACAGGUUCCGCUGAGGACUCUGACAAGACUGCCAUCGUAAGAUGUGAGGAAGGUGGGGAUGACGUCAAAUCAGCACGGCCCUUACGUCCGGGGCUACACACGUGUUACAAUGGGGGGUACAGAGGGCCGCUACCACGCGAGUGGAUGCCAAUCCCAAAAACCUCUCUCAGUUCGGACUGGAGUCUGCAACCCGACUCCACGAAGCUGGAUUCGCUAGUAAUCGCGCAUCAGCCACGGCGCGGUGAAUACGUUCCCGGGCCUUGUACACACCGCCCGUCAAGCCAUGGGAGCCGGGGGUACCUGAAGUGCGUAACCGCGAGGAGCGCCCUAGGGUAAAAC